This 97-nucleotide transfer RNA is filed under the name Felis catus (domestic cat). It matches the Rfam family "tRNA". From Rfam's summary of the family: Transfer RNA (tRNA) molecules are approximately 80 nucleotides in length. The record is from Rfam by way of RNAcentral. Lineage: Eukaryota; Metazoa; Chordata; Mammalia; Carnivora; Felidae.
GCCUGGGUAGCUCAGUCGGUUAAGCAUCUGACUUCAGCUCAGACUUCAGCUCAGGUCAUGAUUUCAUGGUUCGUGGGCCCGAGCCCCGCUUUGGGCU